Molecule: long non-coding RNA, 3092 nt
Filed under: Marmota monax (woodchuck)
Lineage: Eukaryota; Metazoa; Chordata; Mammalia; Rodentia; Sciuridae
Source: RNAcentral
UGGUCUCUUUCUCCGACGUUUCGCGGGACCCUUACAUUUGGUGCAUUGGCCGGGAAAAGCGCAUCGCCGGACAAGGAGACCUCCAACAGACUCCUUUAGGGGGUAAGUAAGGCGCCUCUUCCUCUUCUUCUUCCUCCUCUUCUUCUCCUCCUUCUUCUCCUUCUUGUUUUUCCUUUGCGAUUGCUUAGAGCUUUUUGGUUUUUGGCUCGGUGGAGAGCGUAAGUUCUCAAAGCUUUUUGGUUCAGGUUUGGUCUUUGGCUUGGAUUGGUUUGGUUGGGUUGGCAGCAUGGCCGUCAGCAGAGAGUGUAAAUUCUCCCUGGCAGUGGUGACAGACGUGUCCUAAUCCACAGGCCACUCCUCUUAAGGGAUGCCUUAGAGGAUUCGGGGGGGGGGGCAAAAGUGCCCCCAGUUGGUAGAGGGACAAGAGUGCCCUCGUUUGUACUCUGCUGCCAACCCGUUUAUUUCACCGGCAAUUCUUUCUCUCAGAUUGGAUUCACAGUCUGUCUUUAAUCUUUGCCUCUAAACUUGUGUUAAUCGUUUACUGUUUGUCCUUGUCUCUGUGUCACGUUUGUAUUGUCCCUGUCUCUGCCUGAGUAACUCCCAGUAUAUGACAAAGCCAUUCCACGCCUCUGUCCCUGAAGCCUUUCUUGGUCCCUGCCUCCACUCUGACCCCUUCCCCCAAGAUCCUAUCACUCAAUCCUUCUGCUCCUCCCCCUUUUCCCUCCAUUCUCCUUGAGUCACAAGAUUGUAGAUCUUGGGGUUGUGAACGAAUGGGAGCUGCAUGAUGAUCUUUGUGUGUCUUUUUGUCUGUGUCUCUGUUAAGUGUGGUGGCAUUGUUUUACUUUGGACCGAUGCAGAGUCCCAAAUUCCAAAUGACCUUAGAUGUGUGGAAGUAACUUUAGCUAAAUUUUAACCUAAUGCUUCUCCUGUGAGGGACCAAAAGUCAAUAGAACCACCAGCUUUUCUGUUCUCACCUUUUACACCUCUCUUAGCUGUGUUUUAAAGAACUUUGAUAAACUUUACCUCCCUUUGUUAAACGAGAUUAGGGAAGCAGUGUUUUCUUUUCUUCCUGUAGUUGGCUUGAGCACGCCCACUGCAGAGGGAAAUGCCUGGGGUCUAAAAACUUUGAUAUCUCGCUUAAACUUUUCUCAAACUCUAAACAACUGCAAGCAGAGGAUCAGCUUUUUGGGAAGCUGACUACUAAAAAGUUAGGAGAUGUGAAAAAUGCCUGGUGUCUGGGGUCAAACCUAACCAGAGGAACUAAUCUUGGAAGUAAAAGGUGGAACUAAGGGGCUCCCAGCAGCUGCCAAAGCCAUUUUGCUUUGGGGAGUUUCCUCAUUCCUUACCUGCACUUUAAAGAUUAAUCCACCUCUGUUUGCUUAACUAAUGGGACUAUAAAUGCAGUAAUGUGUUGAUGUUAUAGAUUGUUUCUUGGGGAUAAUCUUGGCUAAAUGUGUAUCUAAAAGAUAAUUUUUUUUUAUUGUAACAAUUUGGUAUCUGAAUGGGUUUCUAAAGCAUUGCACUAUCUUGCAGUUAAAAGUUGGGUUUAAGCAAUUGUUUAGUUUGAUUUCAGAUAGUUCAUGCUAGAAAACUUAAAUACUUAGGGUAAAAAAAUUAGAAAGUUUCAAUUUUGAACUGGGUAGCCUGAGAAAAUUCCACUAGGUAUUCCAGUGCCUUAACUUGGGCAAAGAUAAUAAAUUAUGAUAUGAUAUCUGUUCCCCUCAGUGUGUAAGAUUCAGGAAAAAAAAAGGGUGCUAAAUUAAAACGUUGGUCUGGCUUAUUGAAACGACAUUAAUUAGCAACAGUCUUGGGAAUUUUUAAGGCUUGAUUUUAGAUAUACAUGGUAGAACUUAAUACUACUUUAGGACCUUCAGAACAAAGGAAGCAGCUUAAUGAUCCUGAGGGAAUUUCCUCUGAUGAUGGCCUUUAUAUUAUCAGAAAAAGAUCCUAUUUUCAGUUUUGUGUGAGCAAGUGUUUCUAAUGUAAAGAGAUAUAAAGAUAUAAAAUUUUGAGAAUUGCAUCUUAAACCUGAAAAUUAUGACUUAUAGCUAAAAUGCCUUAGGCAUGAGGUUUCUGCUCAGAAUUCCAGUUUUCCCAGUUCCUUCCAGACCUCAGCCAGGACUUAAGCUGAUAUGCAAAUAGAAGAAGCUUGGAACACUCAGCAGGAGACAGAUUUCAGGCCCAAGGAAAAAAAGAGUUAAAGUGUCUUUUUACCUGAACUCAAACUAGACCCCAACCAAAAAGUAAAUUAUAUGGUAUUUAUUAAUUACUGGCCAGUCAUCUUUUUUUAGGACUCUUGCUUUUUCUUAGAUUCUGCAUUUUUUUUUUUUUUUUUGGAGCUCAUGAUUUUAAUCCCACAGAUGGGUUAAAGUUUUCUGAUCAGUUCUAUUUCUGAUCAACUGUGGAGUUUUUAAACAUUGCAAUGGAGAUUUCACCUGAAAAAGCUACAAGGGUGUUACACUUGUGUUAUGUGUUGUAUGUCGGUAUGUCUGUAUGUGUGUAUGUCCAUAUAUCCUGCAGUGAUAUGACAAUUGACAGAUGAGGAGCGCUCAUAAAAAAAUUUAAAAAUGAAUCCAAAUAUCUUUGAUUCACAUGAUUCAAAUCGUUCAAUUUAAAUUGGGUAAACAGAUAAAAUGUUGAUGUCUAUAAAAUAAUCUGCUUAAAUUCAGAAAUUUACAGAUAUUGUUUUAAAGUGUGAACAGAAGGAGGUUAACAGAUGGAAAAGAAAAACUAGAAAGUUUUAGGUAUGGAUUUAAUAGAGGGAAAAUGUGUUUCUGGAUAAGAGAGUCUAUGUGAUUAAGUAAUUAAGAAGGUUUAAGUAAGUGAUAAAAAAGGUUUGUGUAAGUUGGUUAUAUGUGUAAGUUUGAGCAAGUAAUCUUAAAGAAAAUUAAAGAUUAUACAACUAUGGUUAAACAACAGCUGUUAUUUUUCAAUAUUGUAAUGUUGUUACUUUAAAAGCUAACCUCGGUUAAUAUAAAAACAUCAAUGUAAUUAUGGCGCUAUUAAUGUGUUCAUAUCUUCCAGGUAUACAAGUCUAUAAGGUAGGAGCUUCAAAAGAACAUUGUAUCAAGCUGGUGUUCUAAAGUUGUAUG